RNAcentral lists this ribosomal RNA (282 nucleotides) under uncultured Flavobacteriaceae bacterium. RNAcentral describes it as "partial 23S ribosomal RNA". It matches the Rfam family "Bacterial large subunit ribosomal RNA", at positions 1 to 297 of the family's 2925-position model. Lineage: Bacteria; Pseudomonadati; Bacteroidota; Flavobacteriia; Flavobacteriales; Flavobacteriaceae. The record is from RNAcentral.
AAUAGGCUAAUUAAGAGCGUAAGGGGAAUGCCUUGGCUCUCAGAGGCGAUGAAGGACGUGAUAAGCUGCGAUAAGCUGCGGGGAUUGGCACACACAAUUUGAUCCGUAGAUUUCCGAAUGGGGCAACCCACUAUAUUGAAGAUAUAGUAUCCGUUAAGGAAGCAAACCCAGGGAACUGAAACAUCUAAGUACCUGGAGGAAUAGAAAACAAAAGUGAUUCCGCUAGUAGUGGCGAGCGAACGCGGAUCAGCCCAAACCAAAAUUGUUUCGGCAAUUUUGGGG